RNA transcript from Lepisosteus oculatus (spotted gar), 6278 nucleotides. It is a transcript of the gene named zinc finger and BTB domain containing 40, with no coding region annotated. The record is from RefSeq and is a predicted model, not a curated record. NCBI's taxonomy places the organism in Eukaryota, Metazoa, Chordata, Actinopteri, Semionotiformes, Lepisosteidae.
UAUGGCGUGUUGCUGUUUGUAGCUGCAGAGGUUGGGAUUUUGAAAAUAUCUUUAUUGUUCCAAAUAAAUUUGUCAACGGAUGGAGUUUAAAUAAAGAGCUGGUCGAUUUGAAUCUGAUUCAAGACUAGGUGCCAAUGGAGCUUCCCAACUACAGUCGCCAGCUGAUGCAGCAGUUGCACGCAUUGCGGAAGGAUGGGCACUUCUGCGACUGCACUAUCUUGAUUGGACAGGCACUCCACCGGGCCCACAAGCUGGUUCUGGCUGCCUCAAGUCUGCUUUUCAAGUCUCUGAUGGAGGGCUCUGACACCAUCUCCAUCGACUCUUCUGUUGUCACCUCCCAGGAGUUCUCCUGCCUCCUGGAAAUGAUCUACACAGGCAAGCUGCCGCCUGGCAAGCAUAAUUUCACCAGGAUCAUUGCAGCGGCCGACAGCCUCCAGAUGUUUGACGUAGCUGUAAGUUGCAAAAACAUUCUUAAUGACCUCAUCAAGCCACCGGCUACUACAGAACCACCGGCUGAUGCCACAGAUCUGGCCUUGGGAGGAUCAGAGCACACAUCUUCCCCUGUGGUUGCUGUUCCAAGCUCCAGUGAGGCAGCCGAGGUUUUCCUCGAUCCCACCCCAGCAGCAUCUGAGGAGGCAAUGGAGGGGGGAUCCGCUGAGGCCACAUGUGAGAAGACUGGGAAUCCCCUCAUGGAUGAGGAAGAGAAUCCGGCCAAAAAUGGAGAUAGUGCCAUUCCAAGAGUUUGGGAAAGCAGUGUUGAAAAUUCUCCUCCCUGUAAAAGAGGCCGCCUGGCCCUUACUGUGACUAAAGAGGAAAGUGAGGAAUACUUGGAGUUCUUGCAACAGAACAAAAAUAAGAUUGCUGGAGCCAUUGGAAAUGUGCAACCGGUGAUUAAUGCUGUGGAAAAGUGGGAGGAAAUUUCAAGUGUGGAGAAACUGGUUAUUUUAGACUGCUGUAAAGGAGAGCCAGAUGUGACUGAUAUUUUCCAUAGUCUGCUGAAUUAUGUGGUCAGUAAAAAGCUGUCAACACGGACCCUGCUGACAUUACUGGAAGCCCUGAGAGAAUUCUGCCCAGAUCUGGCUACAGUGCUGGAGAAUCCACUCCAGGGGGAGCAAAACGUAGAACGAGAUGCACAUCAGGUUCCUGAUGAGAAGCCAGCAUCGCGCUUGCUUGCGGAUCACGCAGAGGAAUUGAUUGUUAGCAUCUCUCACCUGAGGCCAAUCAUUGAGGUGUUGGACAAUAUGAAGGAAGAUUUUCUCACUGAAACUGAAAAGCAGACUGUCUUCCAGUGUUGCCAAGAUGUGUGCACCAGGGAGGCCAUUCAGAGUCUCCUGAAUAAAGUGAAGGUGGAGAAAGUGCUGGAGGAGAGCAGCUUUCUGAAGCUGCUGCACGCUGUCAAAUCAAGCUUCCCUGUCUUGCAGCAGCUGCUGGACACAACAGUGGCAGAAGGGACCACAUUUCAGAGCAAAGAAGAUAGAGGCCAAGAAGAAUAUGAAACAGAUCUUCUGAGAAGAUACCAUCAGAGGCUCUCGGAGUCGAUCUGUGAUCCCCAGCCUCUUCUUGAAAGUCUAGCAGCAGCUGAUGAUGUGUCUGCAGAAGAUCAAAAGUGGAUGAAGCAGGUGCUAGAGGAGGAAGCUAGCCCUCGCUGUUUGGACAAGCUGUUGUCUCUGGCUGUGGAGAAGGGCUCAGUGCAGGUGCUGGCAGUGUGGAAACUUCUGGUCAGGACAGAAAUCCCAGCUCUUAGCCUCCUAAUCCAAGACAUCAGGAAGGACCCUGAAGCUGACCGAUUAAUCCAUUCUGUUUUAGAUCUAGAGAGUCAGUUGUUGGAAAUUCUCUCAAGACACAAGGAUUUGAUCACAGAAACCAUCAGCAGCCUCGGCGCUUUACUAGACAGUGUAACUGGAGAGCCAGAAUGCCCAUCUGGAGAUGCAAUUGAGUUCAUAAAAAACUGCUCAACACAGGUCAAUCUCAAUGAAUCAGUGAAGACUCUCCUGGACAAGAUUCUUCAUGAGAAAUCGAUGGCUGCACAACCUUUCUGUAAGCUAGUCAGCCUUAAUAAGGGAUUCUUUCCAUCUCUUCGGCCUCUCACAGACGAGCUGGAGCAGGCAGAAAGAGUGGCGGAUCGGAAGAGCAAGCUUGAAGAGCCGCAGACAGGGGAGGGUGAGAAAGAUCCGGGCGAUGGGGUAGAAAAAAAGGGAGGAAAGAAGGGAGGAGCGAAGCAGAGCUUCCCCUGCGAGUGGUGUGGGAAGACCUUUGAAUUCAAGUGCCGGAUGGAGGUGCACCGCAAGAGGUGCCGGCUCUCCGAGCAGACACAGCUGAAGUGCCCACAAUGCCCCGAGAAGAUGUCCACCCCCAAAGCCCUGCAGCAGCAUCUUGCCAAGUCCCAUGGCAGCCCGCCUCGCAAGAGGAAGAAGAGACGCCAUGAGCCGGUGACCUGUGAUAUCUGCGGGAAGAGCUUUGCCCACCAGUCAGGCAUGCUUUACCACAAGCGUACAGAUCACUUUGAUGAGAAACCCUAUUCAUGUGAAGAGUGUGGAGCUAAGUUUGCAGCCAACUCCACACUGAAGAACCACAUGAGGCUCCACACAGGAGAGAAGCCCUUCUUCUGCAAGCACUGCGAUAUGACCUUCACCCAGGCUGCAGCACUGGCCUACCACUACAAAAAGAAGCACUCUGAAGGGAAGAUGUAUGCCUGCCAGUACUGCGAGGCUGUGUUUGCCCAGUCCAUUGAGCUGACCCGCCACGUCCGCACUCACACAGGAGACAAACCGUAUGUGUGCAGGGAGUGUGGUAAAGGCUUCAGCCAAGCCAAUGGGCUGUCAAUGCACCUGCAGACCUUCCACAAUAUUGAUGACCCCUACGACUGCCAGAAGUGCCGGAUGAGUUUCUCAUGUCUGGAGGAGCACCGGAAGCACAUCCAGGAAUCGCACCCCAAGGAAUUCCACCCCUGUGUGGUGUGUGGGAAGAUCUUCAAUGCUGCCGCGCUGCUCGAGAAACACAUGGUCAUCCACGUGGGGGGGAAGCCUUACAGCUGUGAGAUCUGCAACAAGGCCUACCAGCAAGUCUCUGGGCUGUGGUAUCAUAACCGUACCAAUCACCCUGAGGUGUUUGCUGGACAGAGUCAUCGCUCUGUGAAGAUUUCACAAUUCCAGUGCUCAUCAUGCGAUAAGACAUUCCCCAGCAGUGAGACUCUCAGCAAACAUGAAAAAGCCAUGCAUCCAGAUGUAAAGCUUUUCAAGUGUCAAGACUGUGAAGAUGUUUUCCCCGAUGCAGAGUUACUGAAGACGCACACUAAGGAAAAACAUGAAGGAGCCCAGCUGUUUAACUGUCUGUACUGUCCAUCAUCAUUCCAAACCACGGCAGAACUGCAGCAGCACCUCUGCGUGCAGCACUUUAACCAGCAGGGGGAGGCCUUUGGAUGUGGACACUGUGACUUGAUCUUCCCAUCGCAGCAAGAACUACAGGAGCAUUUCCUCUCCCAGCAUCCCGCUGAGCUUCAGUCCAGCUCUGAGGCUUCUUCAGCGCAAAUGGUGAUCAGAGCCGCAGAGCAGCCAGGGGCGGCGGAGCAGAUGAUCACACUGGAGCAGUCCCAGGUCGGGAGCCCUCAGGUCUAUGUGGCAUUGGCGGACUCCCAGAAUUCCACCUCUGGCUCCGAGAUUGUAGCUGUAAACGUGGAGGACCUUCUGGAUGGCACCGUCACUUUCAUUUGCGAGGACACGCAAUGAGGCUGUCGUGGUUCAGGUUCUUCUGAACUGUGCCUGACUGAGCAGGGACUGCUGCACUGGGACACUUGCUGUGAUGUUACAGUCAGUGCCGCGGGGGAGACGGAGCCUAUCCUGGCAAGCAGUGAGCAUAAGGUAGUAUACUCUGUACCACCAUGUCUCCCAUCAUAGAUAUUUUGCCAUAUAAAUAAUUUACCCACAGACACCUUCUGAAAAGUCUAAGAAUUCAUCUGAAGAAUGUUGUCUGCUACUCACAAGUUGCAGUUCCUUCUCUUUCCCAGUUCAUAGGAAAUGUGGAGGAUUUGCAGGAAUAGGAAGAUGAAACUUUGCUGUUGAUUCACACCUUUAUUAGAAAGGUAAUACAUACAAUGACCAUUUAAUUUUUGGUAUACUGCAUAUUACAUAUAACUUUGCUGUCAUUUCACAGUUUUAUUACAGAGGUAAUAGAUACCUAUAAACCAGGCUUCAGUGCACCUUUAGAUCUGGAAGUAUGAAUUUCAAGCAUAGUUAAAAAGCAAUAGAUAAUAGAUCAUAUAUAGAUAAUGAAAAGGAAAUAGGUGAUCUAUGAAAAUGAAUAUUUCACUUAGGUAUUCAUCAAGAACAUAUCAGCAACAUGCCCAGAAAUCAAUAACAAGUCUAAAAGAUGCAGAUGUGCUACAGGAAGGAGAAGCCUUUAAAGUAAAUUCCAGGUCCUGAUGGUAUUCUACCAUUUCUAUUUAAAACAACAAAUAUUCUGAGGAUUUAUGUGGUUAAAUUUGAAUAAGGGAAAAGAAAAAAUAUGUUAUAAAAAUGACACUGCUGGCAGUUCACAGUUAUUUGCAGGGAUAUCUUAUAAUGGAAAAGAAAUCAGUAAAACUGCACAAUGUUUUGGGCUUUAUUACCAAAGGAGAUUUUAAACUUGCAAGUUAGGUGGGUGAGAACCUGAGAACACGAUAAAUCACCAUUCUAGCUUAAUUUGGUCCCAGUUCAUAAUCGAUCCCAGGAUCUUGUCCAGUUGUUCUUCGAAGGAAGCUGGAGUAUAAAUUCCAAUAAUGUGGGUGAAUAACUAAUCCAAGAAUCCCACAACCUUUCACAAAACCUUUAUUGUUUUUUUAAACGACAUCAUUCACAGUUGUUGGUUUGUGUUUUACUGUUGAUCUGAAGUCAAUGCCUGUGAAGCUUUUGAAUACAGUGCUCAAGACUAGGGGUGCAGUUCUUUUACCUUGGCAGUGUAGGCCCAUCAUCCCUAGUGUGCCUGGGUUGCUCAUCUUUUAACUGAUUCACAAGCAGCAUAACAGCAUUUUUGUAACAUAGUAACCAAAUCUGUAUUCAAAAGCUUUACAAAAACAUAACACCAUUCUUUGAUUUAAAUGCUGAUCUUAGAUAAUUCUGUUUGCUUUUAUAUUGCUUUUAAACAUAGUCUGGGGAAGAGAGUGAUGUAUCCAGCAUCAUUUUUGCAGUGAUUUCUACUGAUGUCUUUGUGCUCUACAGAAUGUCACUUUUCCUCCAUUAUUGCUUUCCUAAAUUAUACAUGCUAUUUUGCACACAAAACUAUGCAUAGAUUGACCUCUUUUCUUUUAGUAUAUUGUUGAAAAGGGGGAGAAGGAGAAGAAUGUUCCACACAAAGACCCAUUGUCCUUGUUGGGUUCCUGACAUUCCAGCCACGGAGGUGGUGAGAUUGCCCAGCAAAAUAAAAAUGAGCCACACUGUAAGACUGGGUUUGAUAACCAAUUCCUCAUGCCAAUACUCUCGAGUGGAAGUUUAGCCAGAAUUAUACAGUGGUUACAUGUGCUUUGCUGAGAUAACAUCCACUUCAGCUACCUGAGAACUGCACCUAUCCUAGCACAAAACAUGCCCAUUGCUAGUCCUGAUUGGAUUAUAUGGGAUGGGGAUGACAGCAUAGCGAUGCACUCUGAGUGAUAAAGAAAACGCUCACACUGAGUGCUGAAAAAAGCACAGCUUCCUGCUUUGCUGUUUUGCAAUUCUGCACACCAGGUGAUUUCUAGGCCUUUGUGGAAAAGACAUUGAUAAAGCUGACCUAAAAGUUGUCUGUCUUUGCCUAUCAGCUCUCAUAUUGACUGCCUCAAAAUACUGCAUAAGAAGAAAAUGCAUGUAAAAAGAAACUGACUUUAUCCUACCUUCAUAAAUAAGUAAAUUGAGUUUUGGAAAUGUAUUUUUGACCAUUUCACACUUAUGUUGAAAACUUUGGUUUAAUUAAAAUAUAAAAAAAUCAAUGAGACCAGGUGUUCUUCCAAUUCUCAUAAUUUUCUCUCACUUAUCCUUUCAUGUUAUUUAUACUUUGGAUACCAUGAUGAUUUAAUUACUGCUCCCUAACCCUAUUUAACUCACAUACCCAGUUUAGCCUCCAGAAAAGUUUUAGUUUUGCAAUGUUCUUUUCCUUUUAGCUGACCAAGAUCUACUGGCAAAUUUUAACUUCAGGAAUAAAUGUAAGCAAUUCAGAAAUUGCAGUGUUUAAAAAGUUUAACAAUGUAUCCAAAACUCAAAGACUGUAGGUGCCUCAGCGCUGGGGAAUGUGGACUGCGGGUGCUGCAGUAUUGGUGGGGAUGAGGACUGCAU